Molecule: ribosomal RNA, 493 nt
Filed under: uncultured bacterium
Lineage: Bacteria
Description: partial 16S ribosomal RNA
Rfam family: Bacterial small subunit ribosomal RNA
Source: RNAcentral
AUUGAACGCUGGCGGCAUGCUUUACACAUGCAAGUCGAACGGUAACAGGUUAAGCUGACGAGUGGCGUACGGGUGAGUAAUGCAUCGGAACGUGCCCGAUCGUGGGGGAUAACGCAGCGAAAGCUGCGCUAAUACCGCAUACGAUCUGAGGAUGACAGCGGGGGACCGUAAGGCCUCGCGCGAUCGGAGCGGCCGAUGGCAGAUUAGGUAGUUGGUGGGGUAAAGGCUCACCAAGCCAACGAUCUGUAGCUGGUCUUAGAGGACGACCAGCCAGACUGUGGCUGAUACACUGGCCAGGCUUCGACGGGAGGCAUCAGUGGGGAAUUUUGGACAAUGGGCGAAAGCCUGAUCCAGCAAUGGCGCGUGCAGGAAGAAGGCCUUCGGGUUGUAAACUGCUUUUGUACGGAGCGAAAAGGCUCUCUCGAAUACGUGGGGCUCAUGACGGUACCGUAAGAAUAAGCACCGGCUAACUACGUGCCAGCCGCCGCGGUAA